GAUGUACGCUGGCGGCGUGCCUAAUACAUGCAAGUCGAGCGAACAGACGAGGAGCUUGCUCCUCUGACGUUAGCGGCGGACGGGUGAGUAACACGUGGAUAACCUACCUAUAAGACUGGGAUAACUUCGGGAAACCGGAGCUAAUACCGGAUAAUAUAUUGAACCGCAUGGUUCAAUAGUGAAAGACGGUUUUGCUGUCACUUAUAGAUGUAUCCGCGCCGCAUUAGCUAGUUGGUAAGGUAACGGCUUACCAAGGCGACGAUGCGUAGCCGACCUGAGAGGGUGAUCGGCCACACUGGAACUGAGACACGGUCCAGACUCCUACGGGAGGCAGCAGUAGGGAAUCUUCCGCAAUGGGCGAAAGCCUGACGGAGCAACGCCGCGUGAGUGAUGAAGGUCUUCGGAUCGUAAAACUCUGUUAUUAGGGAAGAACAAAUGUGUAAGUAACUAUGCACGUCUUGACGGUACCUAAUCAGAAAGCCACGGCUAACUACGUG
RNAcentral lists this ribosomal RNA (497 nucleotides) under uncultured bacterium. RNAcentral describes it as "partial 16S ribosomal RNA". It matches the Rfam family "Bacterial small subunit ribosomal RNA", at positions 28 to 507 of the family's 1533-position model. The record is from RNAcentral.